GAGACGUGCUGGUAUCCAAACCAACAAAACACUGGUGAAUGGAUCAGUUCAAGUUCUGGGCUUUGCAGAUGACUUGGAUCUUGCCAGUCGUACACAUGCAGCAGCGGUAGACACUUUCACAAAUCUGAAAAUCCAAGCGGAGAGAAUGGGUUUGAUGAUCAACGAAUCGAAAACCAAGUACAUGAAGGCCGAACCCAAUACGGUUGCCAAUCAACAAGGGGACGUGAUAAGCAUUGGAGAGUACAACCUCGAGGUAGUCGAAGAAUUCAUCUACCUUGGAGCGCUGAUUCGUUCGGAUGGCGAUAAUACACCUGAAAUCCAAAGACGAAUCAUGGCGGCAAGCAGAUGCUAUUACGGUCUAAUCAAACAUUUACGCUCAAAGUUGAUAUCGAAGAAAACGAAGUGCCAAGUUUACAAAACGCUCAUUCGUCCAGUUCUGAUCUAUGGAUGCGAAUCUUGGACGGUGAAGAGAAGUGAUGAACAGUUGCUCCUAACGUUCGAGCGUAAGGUCCUUCGUACUAUUUUCGGAGCGAUGCGUGAAGGCGAAAGGUGGCGGCGACGAUACAACUUUGAAUUGAAACGUGAUUUUGGCGAGCCGGAUAUUGUGGCAGUGGUGAAAGUCCAACGGUUGAGGUGGGCAGGACAUGUAGCACGCAUGGACAGGAACAGAGCCCCCUCAAUGUUAUUCCGAAAUGAUCCAGAAGGGCGAAGAGGAGUAGGACGCCCUAAAAUGCGAUGGAUAGAUGGCGUCGAAUCAGAUCUUCGGGCGCUGGGAAUAAGAGGCCAAGGCCCACAAGUGGCUGUAGCGCCGGUAAAGUAA
Molecule: long non-coding RNA, 820 nt
Organism: Bradysia coprophila
Lineage: Eukaryota; Metazoa; Arthropoda; Insecta; Diptera; Sciaridae
Source: RefSeq, a predicted model, not a curated record